UUAAAUGAAGUAAGUUAGCCACAAAAGGACAAACACUAUAUGAUUCUGCUUAUAGGAGGGACCUAGAGUCGUCAAGUUCACAGAGACGGAAAGCAGAAGGGUGGGUUCCAGGGGCAGGGAGGUUAGUGUUUAAUGAGGAAAGAGUCUCAGUUUGGGAAGAUGAAAAAUUUCUGGCGAUGGAUGAUGGCGCUGGUUGCACAAUGAUGUGAGGGUACUUAAAAAUGGUUACUAUGAUAAAUUUUAUGUUACCUGCAUUUUACCACAACUAAAAACAAUUUUUUAAGUAAAAAAAAAAAGUCAAUUUUUCCACUGGGCUGUCUUUUUCUUUUUGAUUUGUAGGAGCUCUUUAUAUAUUAUCAACAGUAAUCCUUUUUUCUGUUACGGGUGCUAACAAUAUUUUUUUCUAGUCUGUUGCUUUUCUUCGAGUGGAUUGUAUUUAUGUAAGGCCAGAACUUAGCUGGAAGUAUGCUUUUUCUCCCCAAAUCUUGACUUCAUUAGUAACACAGAUGCUUCUCUCUUGCUGAAAAACAAAAUUGGAGGCAGCCGGGGGUGAGCGAGGUCAUCAUCAUUGGCUUGCAGGCUUUAAAGGCAGAGGUGUCUCCGAUUAGAGGGAAGUGGCUGAGCCAUUGCAGCCACACAAGGAGGGGCCGCACAGGGAAAGAAACUGCCGUGUCUGACACCCAAGUGCAGCUGCCACUGUGUUUCCACACAGCAGGUUUCCAUCUAGAAGGUUCCGCUGAUGGGGUUCACUAGAGGCCAAAGCUGACUCGCAGGGUGGUGGUCACAAAGAUGCAGACACAUCUCAAACCGCAGGUGCUUCCAGGCGCCACGCAGGACUGGGGUUGGCGUGAUGGGCACAGAAAAUGCCUUUGCAGUGAGUGCGAUGCUGACCGGCCUCCGCACGCCCCUGGGAGGUGGAGGGAUGUACGUGAUGGUGCUGGAGAAUGAAGGGGAUGCUUUCACCUCUCAUUGGUCUCACUCAACUUGUUCAAAGCCCAGGGGAACGCCAGGGGUGUUAUUUAACAGGAGUUCCCUCUGCAACCCCAGAACACUCUUAUCUGAUAUAUGUGGACGCAGAGGCUGGAGGGAACCGCAGCUCUCACGUGAGCUGAGAUUCCCAGGCUCCAGGUACACUUCUCUGUGUUUUGCAG
Molecule: long non-coding RNA, 1151 nt
Filed under: Equus caballus (horse)
Lineage: Eukaryota; Metazoa; Chordata; Mammalia; Perissodactyla; Equidae
Description: lncRNA (ENSECAG00000033639.3)
Source: RNAcentral